UCUCCGUUGGUGAACCAGCGGAGGGAUCAUUACCGAGUUUACAACUCCCAAACCCCUGUGAACACACCAUUUGUUGCCUCGGCGGUGCCUGCUUCGGCAGCCCGCCAGAGGACCCAAACCCUUGAUUUUAUACAGUAUCUUCUGAGUAAAUGAUUAAAUAAAUCAAAACUUUCAACAACGGAUCUCUUGGUUCUG
RNAcentral lists this unclassified non-coding RNA (195 nucleotides) under plant metagenome. RNAcentral's name for it is "partial contains small subunit ribosomal RNA, internal transcribed spacer 1, and 5.8S ribosomal RNA". The record is from RNAcentral.